RNAcentral lists this ribosomal RNA (2890 nucleotides) under Klebsiella pneumoniae. Its description in RNAcentral is "23S ribosomal RNA". It matches the Rfam family "Bacterial large subunit ribosomal RNA". The record is from RNAcentral. Lineage: Bacteria; Pseudomonadati; Pseudomonadota; Gammaproteobacteria; Enterobacterales; Enterobacteriaceae.
CACUAUCGUUAACUGAAUACAUAGGUUAACGAGGCGAACCGGGGGAACUGAAACAUCUAAGUACCCCGAGGAAAAGAAAUCAACCGAGAUUCCCCCAGUAGCGGCGAGCGAACGGGGAGCAGCCCAGAGUCUGAAUCAGCUUGUGUGUUAGUGGAACGGUCUGGAAAGUCCGACGGUACAGGGUGAUAGUCCCGUACACCAAAAUGCACAGGCUGUGAACUCGAAGAGUAGGGCGGGACACGUGGUAUCCUGUCUGAAUAUGGGGGGACCAUCCUCCAAGGCUAAAUACUCCUGACUGACCGAUAGUGAACCAGUACCGUGAGGGAAAGGCGAAAAGAACCCCGGCGAGGGGAGUGAAAAAGAACCUGAAACCGUGUACGUACAAGCAGUGGGAGCACCUUCGGGUGUGACUGCGUACCUUUUGUAUAAUGGGUCAGCGACUUAUAUUCUGUAGCAAGGUUAACCGUAUAGGGGAGCCGCAGGGAAACCGAGUCUUAACUGGGCGUUAAGUUGCAGGGUAUAGACCCGAAACCCGGUGAUCUAGCCAUGGGCAGGUUGAAGGUUGGGUAACACUAACUGGAGGACCGAACCGACUAAUGUUGAAAAAUUAGCGGAUGACUUGUGGCUGGGGGUGAAAGGCCAAUCAAACCGGGAGAUAGCUGGUUCUCCCCGAAAGCUAUUUAGGUAGCGCCUCGUGAACUCAUCUUCGGGGGUAGAGCACUGUUUCGGCUAGGGGGUCAUCCCGACUUACCAACCCGAUGCAAACUACGAAUACCGAAGAAUGUUAUCACGGGAGACACACGGCGGGUGCUAACGUCCGUCGUGAAGAGGGAAACAACCCAGACCGCCAGCUAAGGUCCCAAAGUCAUGGUUAAGUGGGAAACGAUGUGGGAAGGCACAGACAGCCAGGAUGUUGGCUUAGAAGCAGCCAUCAUUUAAAGAAAGCGUAAUAGCUCACUGGUCGAGUCGGCCUGCGCGGAAGAUGUAACGGGGCUAAACCAUGCACCGAAGCUGCGGCAGCGACACUAUGUGUUGUUGGGUAGGGGAGCGUUCUGUAAGCCUGCGAAGGUGNNNNNNNNNNNNNNNNNNNNNNNNNNNNNNNNNNNNNNNNNNNNNNNNNNNNNNNNNNNNNNNNNNNNNNNNNNNNNNNNNNNNNNNNNNNNNNNNNNNNNNNNNNNNNNNNNNNNNNNNNNNNNNNNNNNNNNNNNNNNNNNNUGCUGGAGGUAUCAGAAGUGCGAAUGCUGACAUAAGUAACGAUAAAGCGGGUGAAAAGCCCGCUCGCCGGAAGACCAAGGGUUCCUGUCCAACGUUAAUCGGGGCAGGGUGAGUCGACCCCUAAGGCGAGGCCGAAAGGCGUAGUCGAUGGGAAACAGGUUAAUAUUCCUGUACUUGGUGUUACUGCGAAGGGGGGACGGAGAAGGCUAUGUUAGCCGGGCGACGGUUGUCCCGGUUUAAGCAUGUAGGCUGGUUGUCCAGGCAAAUCCGGAUAAUCAAGGCUGAGGUGUGAUGACGAGGCACUACGGUGCUGAAGUAACAAAUGCCCUGCUUCCAGGAAAAGCCUCUAAGCAUCAGGUAACAUCAAAUCGUACCCCAAACCGACACAGGUGGUCAGGUAGAGAAUACCAAGGCGCUUGAGAGAACUCGGGUGAAGGAACUAGGCAAAAUGGUGCCGUAACUUCGGGAGAAGGCACGCUGGUGUGUAGGUGAAGUCCCUGCGGAUGGAGCUGAGACCAGUCGAAGAUACCAGCUGGCUGCAACUGUUUAUUAAAAACACAGCACUGUGCAAACACGAAAGUGGACGUAUACGGUGUGACGCCUGCCCGGUGCCGGAAGGUUAAUUGAUGGGGUUAUCCGUAAGGAGAAGCUCUUGAUCGAAGCCCCGGUAAACGGCGGCCGUAACUAUAACGGUCCUAAGGUAGCGAAAUUCCUUGUCGGGUAAGUUCCGACCUGCACGAAUGGCGUAAUGAUGGCCAGGCUGUCUCCACCCGAGACUCAGUGAAAUUGAACUCGCUGUGAAGAUGCAGUGUACCCGCGGCAAGACGGAAAGACCCCGUGAACCUUUACUAUAGCUUGACACUGAACAUUGAGCCUUGAUGUGUAGGAUAGGUGGGAGGCUUUGAAGCGUGGACGCCAGUCUGCGUGGAGCCAACCUUGAAAUACCACCCUUUAAUGUUUGAUGUUCUAACGUUGGCCCCUUACCGGGGUUGCGGACAGUGUCUGGUGGGUAGUUUGACUGGGGCGGUCUCCUCCCAAAGCGUAACGGAGGAGCACGAAGGUUAGCUAAUCCUGGUCGGACAUCAGGAGGUUAGUGCAAUGGCAUAAGCUAGCUUGACUGCGAGCGUGACGGCGCGAGCAGGUGCGAAAGCAGGUCAUAGUGAUCCGGUGGUUCUGAAUGGAAGGGCCAUCGCUCAACGGAUAAAAGGUACUCCGGGGAUAACAGGCUGAUACCGCCCAAGAGUUCAUAUCGACGGCGGUGUUUGGCACCUCGAUGUCGGCUCAUCACAUCCUGGGGCUGAAGUAGGUCCCAAGGGUAUGGCUGUUCGCCAUUUAAAGUGGUACGCGAGCUGGGUUUAGAACGUCGUGAGACAGUUCGGUCCCUAUCUGCCGUGGGCGCUGGAGAAUUGAGGGGGGCUGCUCCUAGUACGAGAGGACCGGAGUGGACGCAUCACUGGUGUUCGGGUUGUCAUGCCAAUGGCACUGCCCGGUAGCUAAAUGCGGAAGAGAUAAGUGCUGAAAGCAUCUAAGCACGAAACUUGCCCCGAGAUGAGUUCUCCCUGAGACUUUAAGUCUCCUGAAGGAACGUUGAAGACGACGACGUUGAUAGGCCGGGUGUGUAAGCGCAGCGAUGCGUUGAGCUAACCGGUACUAAUGAACCGUGAGGCUUAACCUU